This 375-nucleotide ribosomal RNA is filed under the name Triticum aestivum (bread wheat). Its description in RNAcentral is "partial small subunit ribosomal RNA". Lineage: Eukaryota; Viridiplantae; Streptophyta; Magnoliopsida; Poales; Poaceae. The record is from RNAcentral.
AUGACUAGGGAUAACCUUAGGAAGAGACACAUGAUCAAACCCCUUGAUUGUGUUUACUGCUUGGAACAAGAGUCUUGUUCUCACCUAUUUUUUGAAUGUAUAGUUGCUAAACAUCUCUGGGCCCACAUUGAGGAAUAUUUAUCUAGUCAGAUUGGCUCAUCCUUCGAAUCUGUCGCCAGAUUCUGGAUUGCUACCAAAAAGUUCUCAGUUUUAAACAUUGUUAGCUCAGCUGUCCUUUGGUGCCUCUGGAAAUAUAGAAAUGUUAUGAUUUUCAGUAACACCUCCUGGAUUUCCAUUCCGAAGGUCUUGAGGUUGAUUAGGAACAUGGUGAGGAACUGGGCGGUUCUCUCCUCCGGAUCGGACAAGGACAAUUGA